GCCUUCGUGGUGUAGUGGUCAGCACGCUCAUCGCGUAACCGAGAGGUCCGUGGUUCGAUUCCUGGCGAAGGUG
Non-coding RNA from Stegodyphus mimosarum, 73 nucleotides. NCBI's taxonomy places the organism in Eukaryota, Metazoa, Arthropoda, Arachnida, Araneae, Eresidae. The record is from Rfam.